RNAcentral lists this long non-coding RNA (1155 nucleotides) under Mytilus galloprovincialis (Mediterranean mussel). Lineage: Eukaryota; Metazoa; Mollusca; Bivalvia; Mytilida; Mytilidae. The record is from RNAcentral.
UCCCGGCUUCUGUGUGUGGUAGAAUCACAACACUUGUAACAUACAUUGUUUUCUUUUAAAAGACCUUUGCGCUCCUCUAUUGACUUGGCUCGGAACGCUCGACAUUCAUUUAAGGAAUGCUUUGUAUUGUGCAGAAUACAAAGACCUUGUUUGCUGGCGUCUCCAGAUUGCUGCUCAACCGCUGUUUUAUGAGCACCAACUUUAGUCCUAGGGUAAGGCGUAGACCUUGGCGCAGCACCUUUUGUAUUUGGUGUGGCUUUUGACCCAAAGAUGAACCCAGGAUCGUUCUUUGUUUUGCUUAUUUCCCUGAUGUAGGCAGAGAAUUCUGUGAAAGGUGGAAAGGCAACGUCAUAUUUGGCCUUGUAUCUUGUAGCCCUUGUGGUCCACUUUUCUUGGAGUCCGUACGGUAAUUUUUCAACAAUAGGAUUUAUCCCGGACGAGGAGUCAAAAUAUGCUAGCAAACAUCCCAGCUUGGGAUUUUCCUUGUGAUAUUCUAUUUCUGAUAGAAUGUCAGACAGUUCGUAGAGACGUGCGUUGUCCUUAUUUGUUAAGGUAGGGAAUUUUGCAAGUUUACUCUUGAGAGAGGCUUCCAACAUUUCUGGAGCACCAUACCGCUCGUCAAGCCUCUUCCAUAAUCUUUGUAUACCUAUGGUAGGAUUAUUAGCGUUCGACGCUCUUAUGCUAAUGGCGUGUUUAGCAGACUCUGGACCGAGCCACUUGAUCAGUAAAUCGAUCUGUUCUGAGUCAGAGACUUGUAACUCAUCAGUCACGUUCUUGAAGCUUGCUUUCCAAGUAUGAAAGGACUCUGCCCGAUCGUUAAAGCUUGUUAAUCGGGAGAAAAGCAAGUCCUUGCGUAAAAGGAAUCUAGUUAUCUCUGAUGUAAGGUUGAUUUGUUGCUGGUGUGAAACAGGGAUCUCUUCUAUAAAGUCUUGUUUUGUGCGUAAGACAGGGAUCGCUUCUUUAACACCCUGUUUUUGAUGUUCAGUAGGGCUCUCAUCUGAAAGGCCUAGUUUUUGUAUGCCGGUUACUAAUCCCAGAUCUGGGAUAAAGGUAACUUCCGGUGACUUAUUAUUGGAAGGCAAGACAGCAGAUGUCUGUGACAGCAAGUUCGGUGCCACGGAUGGCACGAACGCUGGUGCGUCGUGACUCAGCUCG